ACGUGGCGGCGUGGAUAGGCAUGCAAGUCGAACGAAUCCCCUCUGGGUAACUGGAGGGGGGAAGUGGCGAAAGGGGCAGUAAGGCAUGGGUAACUUGCCCCGGAGUUCGGGAUAGCCUUCCUAACGGAUGGGUAAUACCGAAUGCCGUACCGGAGGGGCAUCCUUCUGGUACGAAAGUUCCGACGCUCCGGGAGAGGUCCAUGUGGUAUUAGCUAGUUGGUGGGGUAACGGCCCACCAAGGCCAAGAUGCCUAGCAGGUGUGAGAGCACGACCUGCGUCACUGGCACUGGGACACUGGCCAGACUCCUACGGGAGGCUGCAGUCGAGGAUCUUCGGCAAUGGGCGAAAGCCUGACCGAGCGACGCCGCGUGUGCGAUGAAGGCCUUCGGGUUGUAAAGCACUGUCGAGGGGGAGAAAAGCCGCAAGGCUUGAUCGACCCCUGGAGGAAGCUCGGGCUAA
This 459-nucleotide ribosomal RNA is filed under the name uncultured bacterium. Its description in RNAcentral is "bacterial SSU rRNA". It matches the Rfam family "Bacterial small subunit ribosomal RNA", at positions 37 to 500 of the family's 1533-position model. The record is from RNAcentral.